This 737-nucleotide long non-coding RNA is filed under the name Nicotiana benthamiana. Its description in RNAcentral is "long non-coding RNA (NBEN_LNC004308)". Lineage: Eukaryota; Viridiplantae; Streptophyta; Magnoliopsida; Solanales; Solanaceae. The record is from RNAcentral.
CUCUCCCUCUUUCUAGAAAAUACGUAAACACACCUCUCGAAAUGAGAGGAUCUGUGAUAUCAUACUUUCAUCAGAUCCAAAAAGGGUCAUGACGUUCUUGUAUUUUUCUAUCAUUCAUCUUUAUGAAAAUAAAGAAGAUCCGUCUCACUGAAGAUCGGGUGAAUCUUUUCCUUUAUCAUAUUUUUUACUUAAUGCAUCUUUCCUUAUACUAUUAAAUCUGGUCAUAAUCACCGUCAACAAUUGUAUUCGACUAUGUCUUUUAAUUCAUAUUAUUCAUCUCGGAUCUAGGGUUAAUUAUCCUUAAUUAGAAUUUACCACUUCAUCUUUGAUUGAUUUGUUCAAAAAAAAAUUAAUAUCUUUUGAGUCAAACAGGAAUGUUAUUCCAUGGGAAUUAGCUCAAUGGGUGGAGGAGAUUAGAUGGUAUUACUUUCUUGUUUGAUGAACGGAAAGAUCUCCAUAAGGAAGCUAGAAGAUGCUCCAGAAUGGAUCAAAAUCAAAUUUCUAAUUUUAGAAUUAGGAAAAAGCACAAGAAUGAAACUUCCUGAAGUUAUGUUUCUGCACAUUGGUAAUAGGGAGUUGUGCUCCCUCUUUUUUGGAAGCUUAUCUGUAUAUAUCUUGUCGAUCCGACCCUAGGAUCAACUUAUUUAUUUGGUGAUCAAUAUGGAAAUGACCUUACAUCAUGUAAUUAUUUGCUAACUCUAUGGCUAAGAAUACCUAACAUGCUUGUUGUAGAAGGA